UACCUGCAGCUCGAGUGGUAACCGCUAUUAUUGGGCCUAAAGCGUCCGUAGCCGGUUUGGUAAAUAUCUGGGUAAAUCGUGAGGCUUAACUUCACGAAUUUCGGAUAGACUGCCAGGCUUGGGAUCGGGGGAGGUCAGAGGUACUCCAGGGGUAGCGGUGAAAUGUUGUAAUCCUUGGAGGACCACCGGUAGCGAAGGCGUCUGACUAGAACGAGUCCGACGGUGAGGGACGAAGCCCUGGGGCGCAAACCGGAUUACGAUACCCGGGUAGUCCAGGGUGUAAACAAUGUAGGACUUUGUAUUGGAGGUCCCACGUGGGCGUCCAGUGCAGAAGAGAAGUUGUUAAGCCACCGCCUGGGAAGUACGGUCGCAAGGCUGAAACUUAAAGGAAUUGGCGGGGAGCACAGCAACGGGAGGAGCGUGCGGUUU
Molecule: ribosomal RNA, 429 nt
Filed under: uncultured archaeon
Lineage: Archaea
Description: bacterial SSU rRNA
Rfam family: Archaeal small subunit ribosomal RNA
Source: RNAcentral